UUUGUAACGCGGAUUUUCUAAGUUUUUCCAACAUUCAAUUGUCCUCAGAAGUAUAAUACCUCGAUGAUUUUUUAGAAUCGGAAGAGUCAAACAAGCUAAUAGUUUAGUUUGUGCACAGAGCAUCACAAUUUCAAUUUUCAACAACAAAAAAGGGUUUGCUAAUCAUGCCUUGUCCUGGCCCGAAUUCCAACUUCUACAGAAGAGUGGUAGGUAAUCGAUAUGGAAGUAACUGCAAUCAAUCAUCGUUGUGAAUUGAGUUUCUGAUAUGGAAGACGUGGAGUGGCGUCGUUUAGCCGAUACUUUUACUUAUUCAACUCUUAAAUGUGUGUUCAUUCUCACUUUUAGUCACAAUCCAUAAUAGCCCUCAAUUUCUGCAUAUGGCUUUAGUGUGCGAUGAUUAUUACUCUUUAAGUCUGUGCAGUGGGAGAAGCCUUGUAUGAUGGAAAGAGUGACAGAAAUAGCAGGAAGAGCACAAGGGUUAUAGCUGGUCUCAUUCACACUUUUCAUCUUCUUGCUCUCAACAAAAAUGCUUAUAGACAACAGUGUGUUCACGAUGAAUCCAAAAUCUCAGGCUACAGACCGAUUUUGGAAACCAUGUUUCUAAUUGGUCGAUCAUCGUUUCAAAAGUGUAAUGUAGUCCCUUUGAAUUUCGUCUUGCUUUAUCUCUGAUUUAUGAAUAAACUUAGUUGUCUUUCAAUGGCAUAUGUUAUGGUAUCAUUUCUUUAUUUUUGCACAAAUAUGACAAUCUUCCUGUGCAUUCUGAUGUCAUAUUCCUAUUUCAAUAAUUCUACUUUACAGAUCUUCUGCAGGAGUAACCAAAACAGGGUUUAUUGGGUCAAAAUGGUGUAUUGGUAGUAUCGUACAUUCAAAACCAUUAGCGAUUGCCCUCCUCUCUUUUCCCUUCCCCUCCCUGCGUAGAUAAUUAUAUUCUGGCUGCUUCAAAUGAAUUAUUUUGUAUUUUUGCGAGGCAUUGAGGAUGGUUAGGCUCUUACUAUUUCUGGCACUUGCACAUGCCAAGUUUUUGCUUCUUGAAACUUGAUCAUAUGGUGAAAGCUAAUUUUUUAAACUAUAAACUAAUUUACUCAUGUUUAUUUUACAGAGUGACCUUUAUUUGGUGCUAAACCUUAGUCUGCUACUUUAUUUAACUUGAUGGAAUUAUGCAGGAACAAAUCAUGUUCACCGGCUGUCAGAAACAAGUUCCAUUGUUCGGCAGGUUUAAUUACAUUAUUCUCGGUCGCCUGAAUUACCAGAUUGUUGAAAGUUAUUAUGUUAUCAUUGAGACUUUUAAAAUUGCUUCAAAUUUUA
Molecule: RNA transcript, 1305 nt
Organism: Vigna unguiculata (cowpea)
Lineage: Eukaryota; Viridiplantae; Streptophyta; Magnoliopsida; Fabales; Fabaceae
Source: RefSeq, a predicted model, not a curated record